Molecule: ribosomal RNA, 788 nt
Filed under: uncultured Acidobacteriota bacterium
Lineage: Bacteria; Pseudomonadati; Acidobacteriota
Description: bacterial SSU rRNA
Rfam family: Bacterial small subunit ribosomal RNA
Source: RNAcentral
UGGCGGCGUGCCUAACACAUGCAAGUCGAGCGAGAAAGGGGUUCGGCUCUGAGUACAGCGGCGCACGGGUGAGUAACACGUGGGUAAUCUGCCCUAGAGUGGGGAAUAACACCGGGAAACCGGUGCUAAUACCGCAUACGAUCAGAUGAAAGGAGCAAUUCGCUCUUGGAGGAGCCCGCGGCUGAUUAGCUAGUUGGUGAGGUAAUGGCUCACCAAGGCAACGAUCAGUAGCCGGUCUGAGAGGACGGUCGGCCACACUGGAACUGAGACACGGUCCUGACUCCUACGGGAGGCAGCAGUGGGGAAUUUUUCGCAAUGGGGGCAACCCUGACGAAGCAACGCCGCGUGGGUGAUGAAGUCUCUUGGGACGUAAAACCCUUUCGACGGGGAAGAAACUGACGGUACCCGUAGAAGAAGCCCCGGCUAACUCCGUGCCAGCAGCCGCGGUAAUACGGGGGGGGCAAGCGUUGUUCGGAAUUACUGGGCGUAAAGGGCGCGUAGGCGGUUCGCUAAGUUGAAUGUGAAAACUCUGGGCUUAACCCAGAGCCUGCAUUCAAUACUGGCGGGCUAGAGUUCUGGAGGGGAUAGCGGAAUUCCUGGUGUAGCGGUGAAAUGCGUAAAUAUCAGGAGGAACACCGGUGGCGAAGGCGGCUAUCUGGACAGAGUCUGACGCUGAGGCGCGAAAGCUAGGGGAGCAAACAGGAUUAGAUACCCUGGUAGUCCUAGCCCUAAACGAUGGAUACUUGCUGUAACUGGGAUUGAAUCCAGUCGUGGCGAAAUAACGCAUU